AACGAACGCUGGCGGCAUGCCUAACACAUGCAAGUCGAACGAGACCUUCGGGUCUUGUGGCGCAUGGGUGCGUAACGCGUGGGAACCUGCCCUUAGGUUCGGAAUAACUCCCCGAAUGGGGUGCUAAUACCGGAUAAUGUCUUCGGACCAAAGAUUUAUCGCCUUUGGAUGGGCCCGCGUUGGAUUAGCUAGUUGGUAGGGUAAAAGCCUACCAAGGCGACGAUCCAUAGCUGGUCUGAGAGGAUGAUUAGCCACACUGGGACUGAGACACGGCCCAGACUCCUACGGGAGGCAGCAGUGGGGAAUAUUGGACAAUGGGCGAAAGCCUGAUCCAGCAAUGCCGCGUGAGUGAUGAAGGCCUUAGGGUUGUAAAGCUCUUUUACCCGGGAUGAUAAUGACAGUACCGGGAGAAUAAGCUACGGCUAACUCCGUG
RNAcentral lists this ribosomal RNA (433 nucleotides) under uncultured bacterium. Its description in RNAcentral is "partial 16S ribosomal RNA". It matches the Rfam family "Bacterial small subunit ribosomal RNA", at positions 29 to 507 of the family's 1533-position model. The record is from RNAcentral.